GGACCCGCACAAGUAGUGGAGCAUGUGGUUUAAUUCGAAGAUACGCGCAGAACCUUACCAACACUUGACAUGUUCGUCGCGACUUUAAGAGAUUAAAGUUUUCGGUUCGGCCGGACGAAACACAGGUGCUGCAUGGCUGUCGUCAGCUCGUGUCGUGAGAUGUUGGUUAAGUCCCGCAACGAGCGCAACCCUUACUUUUAGUUGCCAUCAUUUAGUUGGGCACUCUGAAAGAACUGCCAGUGAUAAGCUGGAGGAAGGUGGGGAUGACGUCAAGUCCUCAUGGCCCUUACGUGUUGGGCUACACACGUGCUACAAUGGUAUCUACAACAGGAAGCAAGACUGCGAAGUUAAGCAAA
This 356-nucleotide ribosomal RNA is filed under the name uncultured bacterium. RNAcentral describes it as "bacterial SSU rRNA". It matches the Rfam family "Bacterial small subunit ribosomal RNA", at positions 917 to 1271 of the family's 1533-position model. The record is from RNAcentral.